RNAcentral lists this ribosomal RNA (406 nucleotides) under uncultured bacterium. RNAcentral's name for it is "partial 16S ribosomal RNA". It matches the Rfam family "Bacterial small subunit ribosomal RNA", at positions 29 to 526 of the family's 1533-position model. The record is from RNAcentral.
AGUGAACGCUGGCGGCAGGCCUAACACAUGCAAGUCGAACGAGUGGCGGACGGGUGAGGAAUACAUCGGAAACUACUCUGUCGAGGGGGAUAACGUAGGGAAACUUACGCUAAUACCGCAUACGAUUGAAUGUGCCGAUAUCGGAUUAGCUAGUUGGCGGGGUAAUGGCACACCAAGGCGACGAUCCGUAGCUGGUCUGAGAGGAUGAUCGGCCACACGGGAACGUAGACACGGUCCAGACUCCUACGGGAGGCAGCAGUGGGGAAUAUUGGACAAUGGGCGCAAGCCUGAUCCAGCCAUGCCGCGUGGGUGAAUAAGGCCUUCGGGUUGUAAAGCACCUUUGGUGGGAAAGCGUUACCCAAAGAAUAAGCACCGGCUAACUUCGUGCCAGCAGCCGCGGUAAUAC